GCAAUCGGCCAUAGGAACAAGAAAGCAGAACUUCCCGUCCGCUCAGUUGUACUUAAGCUUGUUGCCGGCUAGUUAGUAGUAACGUGGGUGACCAGUUGCGAAUCCUGGCUGCUGAUUGUU
This 120-nucleotide ribosomal RNA is filed under the name Exophiala dermatitidis NIH/UT8656. Lineage: Eukaryota; Fungi; Ascomycota; Eurotiomycetes; Chaetothyriales; Herpotrichiellaceae. The record is from RNAcentral.